CUCAACCGCGGGUUGGCGUGGAAAACUGGUGGACUUGAGUGCACGAGGGGAGAGCGGAAUUCCCGGAGUAGCGGUGGAAUGCGCAGAUAUCGGGAAGAACACCAGCGGCGAAAGCGGCUCUCUGGCGUGCAACUGACCCCCAGGGACGAAAGCGUGGGUAGCAAACAGGAUUAGAUACCCUGGUAGUCCACGCUGUAAACGUUGUGCACUAGAUGCCGGCGGCACUCCGGUGCUGUCGGUGUCCAAGUUAACGCGAUAAGUGCACCGCCUGGGGACUACGGCCGCAAGGCUAAAACUCAAAGGAAUUGACGGGGGCCCGCGCAACCGGUGGAGCAUGUGGCUUAAUUCGAGGCUACGCGAAGAACCUUACCCGGGUUUGACAUAUAUCCGCCCGCCUGUGAAAUCAGGUUUUCUCUUCGGAGACGG
This 426-nucleotide ribosomal RNA is filed under the name uncultured bacterium. RNAcentral's name for it is "bacterial SSU rRNA". It matches the Rfam family "Bacterial small subunit ribosomal RNA", at positions 608 to 1029 of the family's 1533-position model. The record is from RNAcentral.